This 653-nucleotide ribosomal RNA is filed under the name uncultured Cryobacterium sp. Its description in RNAcentral is "bacterial SSU rRNA". It matches the Rfam family "Bacterial small subunit ribosomal RNA", at positions 95 to 749 of the family's 1533-position model. The record is from RNAcentral. Lineage: Bacteria; Bacillati; Actinomycetota; Actinomycetes; Micrococcales; Microbacteriaceae.
GUGGCGAACGGGUGAGUAACACGUGAGCAAUCUGCCCUUGACUCUGAGAUAACUGCGGGAAACUGUAGCUAAUACCGGAUAUUACCUUGGAAGGCAUCUUCUGGGGUGGAAAGAAUUUUGGUCAAGGAUGAGCUCGCGGCCUAUCAGCUAGUUGGUGAGGUAAUGGCUCACCAAGGCGACGACGGGUAGCCGGCCUGAGAGGGUGACCGGCCACACUGGGACUGAGACACGGCCCAGACUCCUACGGGAGGCAGCAGUGGGGAAUAUUGCACAAUGGGCGCAAGCCUGAUGCAGCAACACCGCGUGAGGGACGACGGCCUUCGGGUUGUAAACCUCUUUUAGUAGGGAAGAAGCGACUGGGUUUUCCUGGGAGUGACGGUACCUGCAGAAAAAGCACCGGCUAACUACGUGCCAGCAGCCGCGGUAAUACGUAGGGUGCAAGCGUUGUCCGGAAUUAUUGGGCGUAAAGAGCUCGUAGGCGGUUUGUCGCGUCUGCUGUGAAAACCCGAGGCUCAACCUCGGGCCUGCAGUGGGUACGGGCAGACUAGAGUGCGGUAGGGGAGAUUGGAAUUCCUGGUGUAGCGGUGGAAUGCGCAGAUAUCAGGAGGAACACCAAUGGCGAAGGCAGAUCUCUGGGCCGUAACUGACGCUGA